Molecule: long non-coding RNA, 37389 nt
Filed under: Vigna radiata
Lineage: Eukaryota; Viridiplantae; Streptophyta; Magnoliopsida; Fabales; Fabaceae
Description: long non-coding RNA (VRAD_LNC007246)
Source: RNAcentral
AGCUAUAUAUAUUAAUUGUUUAACAAAUCUACUAAUUAAUUAACUGAAAAAACCCUUACAUGUUAUAAACAGGGGAUACAAAGAGAUAGGAAGCUAGAGUGGAAAGAAUAAGGAAGAAGAACUGGACAUAUAUAUCUAUAUAUAUAUAUCUGAUAAUAAGAUAGAGAAAGAGAAAGAAAAUAAGAAGGAAGAAAUCGAAAAUGGCAUGAAUGGAUUGUGUACACUAGGCGUAGGAAGGGGCACAAGCUAUGCAAGCAAGAAAGAGAAUGGCAGAAGAAGCACCAUCCUCUUCCAGAUUGGAGCUGCUCCUCUUGAACUUGCCAGCUUUUCCUUUGUUGCACUGAAUCUGUUUCUGGAGCUGCUGUUGCUGGUUCUGCCCUUGUUGCUGCAUUUGCUUGUUCCUCUUCAUUGCUUCUUCCACUUUAGACACCAUACUUUUCUCUUCAGUUAUGUCAAAGCAAACUUGAAUUAAUAAAAAAUAAGGAGGCACCUCCCCCUUUUAUAGACUUUUCUGGAACCAAAAUGCCCUUGGUAAGUUUUCACUCACCCAUCAGUUACCUCAACUGGUAUAACAUUAGGGGGCCCUUUACCUUAUAAAAAUCAGACACCCCAACCAAGAAAUGUGUUUUCCAUCUACGUAUAUACCCAACUUGUAAACUUUCGUUAAACUGUUUCACAACAUUUUUUUGAAUAAUUUUUUAUAAUAGAAUACGUGUCAUCAUUUUAUUAGUCUCUUUAAAUUUAUGUUUAAAAUAAUAUUUAAAACAGACUAAUCAUAAAUCACGUUAUCAAAAAAUGGUUUAAUACCGUUGUUGGUCCCUAGUUUGGGAGAUUUUGUUCAAUAUGGUCCUAUCUUUUUUUAGUAACAAUCGAUCCUACAUUUUGAAAAAAGUGUUUAAUUGACUCCUUUUUUGUUACGACGUCAAUUUUCUAACGGUGCUGGUUACGACGUCAAUAAGUUCUUUUAUGCAUUCACCUACCCAAAUGUUAUGCUAAAAAUCAUGUCAUCAUCGUAUACAAUAAAGACUAUAAUAAACAAUUUAAACUUGAAUAUGGGACCACUAUGAACAAAAAGGACUCAAUUGAACAGUUUUUUCAAAAGAUGGAAUCAAUUGUUAUGAAAAACAAAAGGUAGGACCAUAUUAAACAAACUCUCUCAAACUAGAGACCAAAAGCGAUAUUAAGUCUCAAAAAAUUAUUAAAAGAAUAUUGUUAAAAGCACUUUUUUUUCCAUUCAUAUAUAACAACCACACGUCGAUCUAUAUAUAUUAUAUCAUUUUCACUGUUAUGCCAAUUUUUGACGGUAAAUUUCCUAAUCUACAUUGCUUGUUGCCUUCCAUGUCUGCCUAAUUGAGGGAAAAAAAAGGACACCUUAGCUGAAAGAAAUUAUUCAGAAAACAAACAUUAUAGGUGUAGAAUGAUUGCAUAAUUACAAAUUACGAUGAAUGGGAUUACGUGCAAUUCCCAGACUAGAACUUAAACCGGGCUUGUCUUUAUCGUAGUAGCCAUCAUAAUUGAAACAGCAUGUGCGUAACUCUUUUAAUUUGGAGCAUCAUCAUUGAUCAUCCUCUUUCGAUGUCGGAUUAUUGAUGAUUUAGAAUCAAAUUAACAAUAAGAACGAUGUUUUAGAUGAUAAUUGAAACCAAUGAUUAAAUGCAAAAGCUCAUACGAAGUUGUCAUGGAAAAAAGAAAACAUGCGGCAAAAAUUCUAUCACUUGAAUGUUCCAAUUAUAAAGGAUGGACAUGAAAGAGUUGUUUCUUAUGAUUUGAGAGUAUCUAUAAUUUCAAUUUAAUAUCUAAGUGAUUUCUGUCCUGAUUUAAGGAUAAAGUUAGGUCUGAGUUGGAUUCUGGGAGAAAAUAAUUUUUUAUUAGUUUGUAUAAUUUCUUAAGCAUAUUUUGAAUGAAGAUAUUGAAAUUGUUUAAAGUUGAGUUUUUGAGGAGUAUGGUUGUUGCGAAAUCAUGUGCGAAAGCAUGUGAGCAUGUGGGGGAGUUCUUGUCCUGUUGUACUCUGAUCCACUUCCUUUGGGCCCAAUGGUUUUCUUUUGUAACUAAUAAUAACAACAACAAUAACUAGUAUGCGGAUUUUGUUAUGGCCCACUUCUAUUUUAGUCGCCUAAUAACACAAAAUAAUCAUUAAUAGCCAUACAUUAAACCUUGUCUGUGAUGACACAACAUUUUACGUAUCUCUGCCUUGGUUCAUGAAUUUACCACUAUAACUAUAACAUCUCCUCUUCAUUUCACAUGUCCUCCACGUGACCCUUUUCUUUUCCAUCACCCAUCAUGUUGCCACUAGCGACACAAACUCUCUGCUUUUUUUAUAUUAUGUAAUAUUGCUCAUCAAUUAUCAUUCAUUUAUUAUUUAUUUUAAGUUACUUUUUUUUUUUUUUGCUUUGACUUGGUCUUUUUGAAAACGUAACUUCCCUUGUCAAUUUAUUGUAAUACUUAUCUAUUGUAUAAGCAUAUAUAAUAAUAUGCGCUGAGUAAAAAUACGUCUAUUUUGUUUAGCGUAUAUGAAUUGUUUUUUUAAACCACGAUAUCUUCGUUAAGGUAACUAAUCUUUUGUUAAUGCUAAAUAUGUGGAACGUGAACACUUUUUUCCUAAAAUUACACAAAUUAACAAAUUAUAAAAAAACAAAUUACGGUUAAUGAGUGAGUCGUGUAGUAUUGUGACGACUUCACCUAAAGAAGUUAUGCACUAUCAACACAAUUUUUUGGAACAUUGAAAUUUUACUAUGAUGUCUGACAUUUGAACACUAAAUUUUCUUAACUUAAAUAUUUUAUUUCAUUUAUUAAGUUAUCUUAGCUUAUGAGAUCAAACAAUUCAUUUUGAAAGGAAAACUUUAUGUACUGAGAUCCCAAUUUUCCCAAGCGGUAUUUUCGAUCAAUAAAAUUUUAUUACAAAAACAAUCUAAGGCUUAUGGUGGAGAAAAUACGAUCACAUGACAACAAAUAUUGCUAAAUGCAUGAACUUAGUGUUAACGUAAGUAUGUUUAUUAUCCAUUUGUGUUGUAAUUAAGAUAACAUUUGAAAAGACAAAAACAUAGUUUGUUGAAUUGGAAUUGAAGACAUAAUCAAUGUUAAUAACAGGUCAUUAUAAUUUAGAAGAUAUAGUUGUCCUUCUUCAAAAAAUAUGGACAAAAAUAAAAGUUACAUAUCAUCUUUGUUGCACAUGAUUUCUGUAAUCUUGUUUUUCGUGGACACAACUUCUUCCUAUAAAAUCGUCACUGCACGACUUUCUACUGCUAAUAUUUUUUAAUUCUACCUAUUUUUGUGUAAUUUAUUGCAAAAACUGUACCCUUGUGAUAAAAAAACAAAACCCUUAUCUACGUAACAAAGAAAAACACCGCCAUAGGUGUAGAAAUGUACAUUAAAAAACAAAAUUAUCAAAUAAACCGAAAAAGAAACAAAAAUGUAAUUAAUAUGUUGAGUAAUGGUUACAUGUAGGGAGGAAAGUGAUAUCACAUUUAUAUUUUACAAUAAUGCAUAUACUUCAUCUUAAAAUAUAAUUAAAAUUAAUAUGAAUAUUAAACUUUAACUCGUUAAAUAAGAUGACGUAAUAAAAUAAAAUUCGGACACACUUGGUAUUAAUAAUUUCUUUGAAUAAACUUCCAGGAUUAUACACGUAAUGAAGGGCUCAAUUUAUAGGUUUGUGUGUAUAUCGGUCAAUUCCUUGAAAUAUUGAGAAAUUAAUCACAAGAUCGAGAUCAAGGAUACCUUCCAUUCAGUGAAUAGAAGUUAUUUAUGUGAUAUAAUCUUAUUUUAAAGGUAUAAUAUUAUGGUAUUUGCAAUAACUUAUAUAAAAGUUAAUUUCUGGUAUAAUUUUACUCUUUGAGAAGUUCGUUUUUCUGGUAUAAAACGUUUUUCUAUAUAAGUCAAGCACGAGAAAAAUACUAUAUGAUUUUAGCAUAAAUAAAAUGAUAAAAUAUUAUUUAUAAUUAUUUAAAUGAUCAAAAUUGUUACACCUGAAAGUAUUUUUAAUAGACUCAAAGUAAGAUUUUUUUUUAACCAGAAAGUAUAUUGUUGUAAAAAGGUAAAAUUAAAAGCACAUGUCCUAUUUAAAUAAAAAUUUUAUGUAAAUACUUAUACGAUAAGAAAAUAAAAUGGUACAAUGAAACAAACUUCUCUCACUAGCUAAAAUAAACUAACGUGUUUUAAUUUUUAAAAAAGUUAAAUAAGAGAUUUCUUUAUGUACAUUAAAUGUAUAAAUUAAUUUUUCUUUGCGUAAAAGUUUAUUUAAUAUUAAAUUUUAACUUUUUUUUUAUAAGUGCUCGUUCAUAAAUUUCUUCAAAAAUGUCCUUUACAAAAAUACGAUUGAUAGUUAUAAAUAAAUAAAUAAUACACAUUAUCACUUAAAGAAAAAUUACGAAGAAGAGUGAAUAGUAUAUGAAUUAUUAGAAAAAUCCAUAUAUAUUAUAUAAAUUUAUAGGUUAAUUAGGUUUUUAAUUUUUUAAUUUUUUAAUUUUUAACAAAAUUUAGUUAGUCUCUGAGUUGUAUGAAUUUAAUUUUUUUAAUAUUUUUUUUUCAAUAUUUAGUUGAAAAAUAUAUUUAAAAUUUUAAAUAAAUUUAAUAAAAUUUAAUUAUAAAAACUAAAUUCAGUCCUUAAUUUAAAUAAAUUUAAUAAAAUUUAGUUAAAAAAUUAAAUUUUAAUUAUUCUAAAGAUGAAAUUAUGUUAAUUUAAAAUUAAGAAAUAAAAAUAUAUUUAAUCAAAAUUUAUUGAUUUUUAUAAUAAUUGUUUUGAAACUUUAACUGAUGAUUAUUAUUUUUUUCAUUUGUUAAUAAUAUAACACAGGAGUUUAUGAUUUCAUAAAAUAAUUUUUAUGUUCUAUUUAUACAUUUAUCGAAAAAUUCGCAAUUAUAUUAUUUUUUAAAUUUUGUACUAAAAAAAAGGGAAAAAGAGUUCUGUCAUCAUUUUCACUUUUAGUAUUUUAUAUAUAGAUUUUUAAAAGAAUAACGAAUCAAUGAAAACAACUUUUUUUAAAAAAAAAAAAACAUAAUCAAAAUCAAGCAAUUGCUUAAAUUUGCAACUAUAUCCCCAAUUGAGAUGGUUUAUUGGUUGAAUGUACAAUUUGGUUUUGGAGUAUUCUUGAUGGAUUUAUCAAAGUUAAUGGCCACAUUCUCAACGGUUAGUCAAUGAUUAACUAACUUAUUUAUAAUUCUUUGAACUUGGACUAUCUAAUGACAUCAUGCAUGAAUCAUUAUCAUAACUCUCAUUUAUAGGAUUUGCAGUUAAGAAUAAGCAACCACCAUAUAUAUAAUAGAAAUCUAAUCACCAACCAAAUCUUAAACUCAGACAAUCAAAUUUCCAUCUACCUUUGGUAGAAUCACCCCAACACAUCACGUGACCAGACAUAAAGGAAUUUUGGCCACUGUAAUUAUUACAUAUUAUUACAUGUGUUCAUGUUUUUUUUUUCCUUUUUAUUAUAUAUAUUUUUUUAGAGUGUUGAGUUUAAAAAAAAAUAUUAUUCUUGAAAUUAGAGACUAGUGUUGUUAGUUAUUAGAGUAAUGUUUUGUUUAUUUGAAGAGAUUUGAGAGAGAGUGAUUGAAUGGAUUUAAGAGAAUUUGAAGAUAAUAUUUUUCUUUUUGUUUAUUUGAGUGAAUUUGAAGGUAAGUGAAAGUGGAUUUGAAAGUAAAGUUUGUGAGAAUUAAUGUAUGAUUUAAUUUCUGUGACAAAUUAAAAAAAAUUAUUUCCAAAUUCACUUUCACUUACCUCUAAAUCUACUUAAAUAAACAAAAAAAAAAACUAAGUAUAAAUUCUCUUAAAUCUAUUUAAUUACUCUUUUCGAAAACCUUUCAAGUAAACAAGGCAUAAUUGUUUUAUAUUAUUUAUUAACGUACAAGAAAAAUGUGAUGAAAUGGAUUUCUGUAGUUUUUCGUUGAAAUUCGAUAUUAAAAUUAAGUUUAGUCUAAAUUAUUGGUUUAGUUUCCAAAAUUAUUGAUAAAAAUAUGUCUCUCAUUUAUUUCAUAGAUAAAGUAUUGUAAUAGAUGAGAAGACAAAUAAAGAAAACAAAAUUCAUGGAUUUUAAAUUUCUUUAAAUGAAAUUAUCAUUACUAAGUAAUUGAAACAAGUUUAUAAAUUUUAUUACUUAAAAUUAACGUUUUUUGUUUUUGUUAUUGUCAUAAACACUCACCGAGACACUACUGAUUUUGCGACAAAGGAGCAUCUUAAAAUUGCUCGAUCUCAGUUAUCAUAAGUUUAAGAUGUGCAUAAAGUGUAUCAAUACUCAAAAAGUUUUAUUUAUUUUUUGUAAUAAUCUUCUUACGGGUCGAGUAAAAUUAAAUUGAAUAACUAUUAGUUUUAGUGUGCUACCUAUACAAUUAAAUUUAAUGUCAACAUAAACCUAUUAAUUUAGUAAAACGAAUAACUUAGCUAAAUUAAUGAAUAUUUAACCAGUUAAUUUUAAAUAAUCUAUAUCGAUAUAUAAAUUUGGUAAAAAAUUGAACAUUUGGUUAGUUUAUUUUGAGUAGAAAAAGUUUUUUUGUUUUAUAGUUUUUAUAGAACUUGAUUUCUUGUACAAUUUUUAAAACAAGCUUUUUCCAAACACGUACUCAUUCUAUCCACUUUUGUAAUAUGAAAAAGAAAAGUCGAGUUUAGUGCAUACAAAAUAAUUGAAAAAUAAAAAAUAAAAUCCUAUAGUACUCUGAUUCUAUUCCACCGAAACAAUUUAAUUGCUAAAUGCUAAUGACAUAAUACAGCCAAAAGUUAUUGCUAUCUAUGCUUGCGGUAUUGUCUGCAGUGAAAAUGAUAAGGCAAACAUCUCCAAUAUCUGAUCAGUCUUUAUCCCACAGUAUGAAUUUUUAAAAUUAAUUACUUUCCUGAAAUUUCGAAUAAUUAUAUUUUUAUCAAUCAAUUUUAUUUUUAACCUUUCAAAAAAAAAAAUCUAAAUAUUAAAGUUGAGAAAUUUAAAAUAGUUUUAAAUUUCCUAAACUUUAUAUUAUAAAAGUUUGAAUUCUAAACCUAACUUUAUAUUUAGUUUUUCAAAUAUUAUUUUUUUUUUAUUUAAAUAAAGCAUACAUUGCAAAAAUUAAUCACUAUAUCUUUUAACAAAAACAUAUGAUGGGUGUCACCGAAAAAAUAGUCUUGCCUUAAUGAAAUUCCUAAUAAAUAUAGCCUGAUAAAUAGUUUAUCAAUGAUUAGGUAAUGUCAGCUAGAAAAUAAUUUAUAACAUUCACUAAAAAAAAUAAUUUACAUCAAUAAAAAAAAAUACUCUUAUUGAUGUCAACAAAAAAUCUGCCAUUGACCAAAUAAUAGUCAUAGUACUGUCAAUCAACAAAAUCCUAAUUAAUGUUAGUCAAGAGAUAACAUUGAGUUUCAUUUUGAUGAACAUUGAUGUUAGUAAAACCGAUUAUAAAAAUGAUGUUAACACAAAAAUGCUUAAUAAUAAUAAUGAUUGAAAGAUAAUCAUGAUUAAUUUUAAAAUGAAAGAAUUAUCAUUUGACAUAAGUAAAAAAGGACGUUGAAUUAAUGAUGCAUCAAACUGAAUUGAGUUCACAAUGUUUCAAUUAAAGUCAAGUUAACGAGUUUUGAGAAAACCUAAGUGGACGAUAACUCAACUAAGAGUCAAGGAAAAAUAUAAAAAGUACCAUAACUUUGUAAGAAAAAAAAUACAUAAAGAAUUUUAAUUUUUUACUAUAAAAUUUAAAAUUGUGUAGUUAAUUUAAUUACUCUCAAACAUCAUAAAAAGUUUUUUUUUUUUUAAUUUUUCUAACAAAAUAAAAUGUUAUUGUAAAAAAAAUAAAUUUCUCUAUAAAAAAAAUUAUCUUAUUAAAAGUCUCUAUCCAAAUACGAAGUAAAUAUUGAACUUUAAAUCUUAUAAAAUUCAUUUUAGUCCAUUAAAUCUAUCGUUCAGGAAUUAAAAUUGUAUAUUUUUCAAUUUUAAAGAACAUAUAGAAAAAACCUUUUCAAAUUUAGAGGAGCAAAAUCAAAAUUGCCUCAAAUUUUAAAACUUAGAAUGUGAUCAAACAUUGAAAAAAGAAGCUAAUUUCAUAAAAUAUUUUGUUUUUAGUAAUCAUAUAAAUUAUUUUAAGUAUUUAUAUUUUUAAAGUAUGAAAUUAUUCGUUAAGAAAAAUGUUUUUUAAUAAUUUCUUUUGAUAAUUUUUUUACAACUGUUUAUGUCCGUUUCAAAUAUACAAACCAAUAAAAUAGUAACACAUAAUUUAUUUUUAAAAAACUGUUAAAAAAAUAUUAAAAUAUGAUGAUCCAUUCAUUAAUUAAUUUCGAACGGUGUAGAAAAUUUGCAGUGAUUAAUGACACGAAAGGUUGUUAUGAAUGAACAGUCCGGAAGAGUGUUAAGAUUAAGAAAAAUAAAAUUUUCACAUCUAAUUUUUUUAUAUUUUUUUUUACAUUAUCUUUUCUAUUUAUUACUAUUUUUUUUUCUUUAAAAAAUACAAAACUUUAUAUUUUUAUCACUAUUUUCUACACGAAUUUAAAAAUGUAUGAUAUUAUAUUAAAAGUCUUGAGAAGUUUUGGAGCACGAAACGAUAUUAGACAGGAUAUUGACAGGCUCCUAGAAUAACAAACCCAGCUAACUAAAAGCAAUCCUUAAUUAUAAUAAGUGGUCUAAAAAACAGUUCUGAAAGUGGUAAAGUUGAUAAACUGAAGGGUUUGUCGGCAACGAAAGGGACGAGGAAGAAAAGGAAGAGGAGCUGAAGCCAUAAUUCUAGGCACAGAGGGGCCUGGGUUUAAGAAAAUGGGAUGUUGGGCAUUCCACGAACAGCCCCUAUUCAUUUUUUUGGUCCCCAAGGACCCUUCCUGCAGGAAUUAGUUUGCUCUGUCACUUCCCCAAAUUCAUUGUUUCUCUUACCUUCAAUCCAAAUAAAGAUACAUCACCUACGUUGUCAUUCUUUAUCCAAUAAUGAUGUCUAGAAAAUAUUUAUUUAACAAUAUUUAAACAUUAUUUACGUGUCAUUUUGUGAUUGGUUUAGGGUAGUGUUUAUGAUUAUUAUUAUUAUUGAUUGUGGAAUAAUUUUGAACUAAUCACAGAAUGACACGUAAAUGAUAUUUAAAUAUUGUUAAAAAAAUGUUAUCAAAAUAUCAUUAUCCUUCUUUAUCAAUUGGACUUUCUUUUCUGACGCAUGAAAUUAUUCAGGCAGCUAGGUACACAGGACCUAACAAUGUUUAGGUCACAAUUCUUUUAUGGGAAAAAAAUAUUAAUUUGAUUGGUAGUAAUAAUUUUUUAAUUUUAAAAUAAUGUCAAGUACAUAACAUCGAAAAUGAUUGUGUAACUACGAAAAUUAAAUGACAUUAAGGAAAUAAUUUUUGUUGUUCUUUAGAAAAAAUCAAUCUGUCUAACUAAAUAAUAAUUGGAGGUUGGGGGAAGCCCCCACACAAUGCAUUAAGCUUCACCACCCAUGUCUUCUGUACAAAUGUUUUUUCUUUCUCCAUGUGGCAUUGAAAUGGUUUUAACGAAUGUAGUAAAUUUUGGAUGAGUAGCUCCUUCUUAUAAAUAAUAUCUCAUAUCAUAUCAAAUUUCAUUCAUGGUGUAUUAUGUCAUGAUUUCAUUAAAAACAUGAAAUGCACUUAACCCAAUAAUUUCAUUAUUUGUCAUGUAGUGCAUGUAAAUUAACAAGUCUAAUAAAAUUAGCAUGGAAAUUUUGCAUUCCAAUUGCAAGCAAUUAGUUGACACUAAGAUACCUAAAAAGUUACAUGUUGCUCUCAAUUUAUAGUGAUUGAUCAUUAUAGUCUUUGUUAGGCUUCCUUAGGUACUUAUCUCCGAUAUAUUUACAAAACUAAUACACUUAUGUAAGGAUGAUAAACUUCUUUUCAUUUUGCAUUUAGCCUCGUUGUGAAGUAGCUAUCAUAUAGCUAAUGGUUCUUAGAAAGGCAUCCUUCACAUAUGAAGCUUUCAUAAAUUACACAUGAUUCUCGUAAAAAUAAUGUUUGAACAAUUUAUUAUGAUAAUGGCUAAACAUGGGUUGAAAAGAUAAGAAUAUCAAGAAACAUUUAAAUUUAUAUAUCGUAUACAAAUCUCAUUUGAACUUCUUUUUGUGCAAUUAAAUGUCAUAGGAAUUUUUAAUCAAAGAUUUUAUUCAAGACCAAUGUUAUGCAUUAAUAUUAGGUUUAAUGUUUCAAUAGAUCCCUAUUUUCGUACAGAAACUCAAAUAGCUCCCUUUCUUUUUCGGUGUUUCAAUUGAGUCUUUAUUUUUGUAAAAUUGAAUCAAAUAGGACCUUUCCAUCAAAUUAAGAUGACGCCAUUAGGAAGGAUAUGCUGACAGUGUAGUUUUUUAUUACUUGGCAUUGAAAACGUGAUUGAAUUGUAUUUUUGUAUUCUUGAAUUGAAAAAUGAAAUAUACAAAAUAUACUUCAUUUUUUAAUUUAAAAAUUAAAAAAAUACAAUUCAGUCACAUUUUCAAUGCCACGUAAUAAAAAACUACACGGUCAACAUACCCUUCUUAACGGGGUUAUCUCAAUUUGACGGAAAAGCAAAAUUUGAUUCAAUUUUAAGAAAAUAAGGACUUGAUUGAGACGCCGAAAAAAAAAGACUUAUUUGAGAUUCUUAACGAAAAUAGAGACCUAUUGAGAUAAACCUUAAUAUUAUAAUAAAUGUAUAGUAAUAUUAAACAUAAGCGAAACUCAUUUUAUCUGUACUAUGUAAACAGUUACAUAAGGUGGUCACUUCUAUCUUUUGCUAUCUUUUGCUUAGAAGUGUACUCUAUUUUCUAAAAUUCUUCUCUAUUAUUAUUAUUAUUAUUAUUAUUAUUAUUAUUAUUAUUAUUAUUAUUAUUAUUAUUAUUAUUAUUAUUAUUAUUAUUAUUAUUAUUAUUAUUNNNNNNNNNNNNNNNNNNNNNNNNNNNNNNNNNNNNNNNNNNNNNNNNNNNNNNNNNNNNNNNNNNNNNNNNNNNNNNNNNNNNNNNNNNNNNNNNNNNNNNNNNNNNNNNNNNNNNNNNNNNNNNNNNNNNNNNNNNNNNNNNNNNNNNNNNNNNNNNNNNNNNNNNNNNNNNNNNNNNNNNNNNNNNNNNNNNNNNNNNNNNNNNNNNNNNNNNNNNNNNNNNNNNNNNNNNNNNNNNNNNNNNNNNNNNNNNNNNNNNNNNNNNNNNNNNNNNNNNNNNNNNNNNNNNNNNNNNNNNNNNNNNNNNNNNNNNNNNNNNNNNNNNNNNNNNNNNNNNNNNNNNNNNNNNNNNNNNNNNNNNNNNNNNNNNNNNNNNNNNNNNNNNNNNNNNNNNNNNNNNNNNNNNNNNNNNNNNNNNNNNNNNNNNNNNNNNNNNNNNNNNNNNNNNNNNNNNNNNNNNNNNNNNNNNNNNNNNNNNNNNNNNNNNNNNNNNNNNNNUUAUUAUUAUUAUUAUUAUUAUUAUUAUUAUUAUUAUUAUUAUUAUUAUUAUUAUUAUUAUUAUUAUUAUUAUUAUUAUUAUUAUUAUUAUUAUUUGUUAUUACUAUUUUUAUUAUUAUUAUCAUUAGUAUUAUUAUUAUUUAUUAUUAUUAUUAUUAUGCUUUGUUAUUAUAAUUAUUAUUAGUUAUUAUUAUUAGGGUUAAAUAUGCUUUUAUUUCCUUAAGUAUCACUUAUUUUUAGUUUUAGUCCCUACUCAAAACAUUGAUGGUAUUUGAUCAUCUUAGUUCUGAAACUAUUACAAUUAGUCCUUAAAAUUGGACGGCGUUCAAUUUUUGUAUGAUGUGGCUAACGGUGAGCCAUGUGUGUGCCACGUUUUACAAUCUCCAACAGAAACCCUAACCCUCCUCCACCAUCUUCUCCCCCACCGCCGCCAACUUCAUGCUCGCCGGCCACCACGCGCACACCGCCGAAAGGCCGCCACCACAGAAGCGACCUUAGCCCUCACCGACCACCACGAGCUCGCGCCUCCGCCAUACUCGCAUAAGGAAAGUCCUCUGUCAAUGCAUAUCACCGUCUCCUCAGCACGCCGCCGCCAUUGCGAGACCAGACGCAAGCCAACGCGCCACCGUUCAUCAUCACCAUGCCGCCAAUGCCUUUUCUCGCUCACUGUCGGCAUCCUUUUCGCACCGCAGCACCACCACCAUGGAAGCAUCUCCUUUCUCACAUUCACCAUCAAACCCCAAUCGCAAAAUGCGGUCUCCUUCCUCGCAUCUUCACAAUCAUCUUCUUCCCAGAUGCGCCACCACCUACAACCAAAAUCAGACUUGCAGAAACCAGAUUUAACACCAUGCAACCAUCACACACAGACCCAAUUCGAAGAAUCCUUCGAACCCUAAAUCGCCACUGCAAAACCCGACUUUGCCACACAGUUCUUCCAUUCAUCUGCUCGCAGGUUUCAUCCAAUUUGAAAACAAAGAUUCUAACCCCUCCAAUUGCAACAUCAGAAAAACAAAGAAGAGAACCCUAAGGAGUGCGAAACAGAGAUUUGGUGCUCUUUGGGACACAGAAGCGCGAAUCGAAAGCCAUAAAUCGAAAUCGAAAUCGAAGGUUUAAGCCCCAAAAUCGAAGAGUCGAGAAAACCCUAAGGAGUGCGAAAUAGAGAGAGAUUCUUGUUGUGGUGGUCGGAAUCGCCGUGAUGGAGUUGAUUUUACAGUGGUUAUGGAAGUUGAGGUCUGAUUGUAGUCCAUAGGAAAGAGCUCAUGGUGGCCGGUGAGAGUCGCUGGGUGGCUACCAUGGAGGAGGUAGCGGCGUAGGAGAAGGAAUUUUUCCCCUUUCCCCCAAUUCGAAACCCUAAUUUUGGGUGGGGAAGACGUGGCAGGCAGUAUACAGAGAAGACGUGGCCGUUAGCCACCUCACCAAAAAAAUUGACGUCAUCUAUUUUUAGGGACUAAACAUAUAUGUUUCCAUACUAAGAGGAUGAAAUGUCAUCAAUGUUUUAUGCAGGGACUAAAACCAAAAAUUAGUGAAACUUCAGAGACUAAAAGCAUAUUUAAUCAUUAUUAUUAUUAUUAUAAUUAUUGACGUUGUAACAUGUUUUUUUUUCAUAUAAUCUUAAGUUUAUUGCAUGUAUUUUUUACAUUGGUACUUGUUGAAUAUUUAUUAGAAGAGGGUGCCUUUUCAACACAAAUACUUAUGAAUCUCACCAACCAGUGAAGAAUGAAAAAAAUAUACAUCCUGCGAAUCAUCGCCUUCCAUCGCUUCCAAAUACCUGAAAAUGCAUAAUAUAUUAUGCAAAUCCGUCCGCUUAAAUAAUUGUGAACAGUGCAUCAUCUUGAAAUGAAUACGGCCUAAUAAGUUUAUAUUUAGAAAUUUUAAAUUAUAUCACUUAUUUACAUAUAAAUAUGUAACAUUGUUAUAUAAACAAACUAGUGUGUCAAGCUUAAUGAACUUCUUAGGUUCUAUUUUUAAUUUUUAAAAGGAGAAUAAUGUUUUAAUAAUUCUUUUUAACCAUUUUUUGACAGCAAGACAUAUUAUCAUUUUAUUAGUCUACUUGAAUUUAUUCUAAAAAAUUAUUCAAAACGGAAUAAUCGUUGAAAAGAUUUUUUUCAUUUUAAAAAUAACACUUUUUAAAGCAAAUGCCACCAUUACAUUGACUAAAACUUAGAAACUUUUUCUAAAGAAAAACUUAUCAGCUAAUUUGGUAUUCCCAGAGUUAUAAUCAAAUAAUGGAAUAUAAUUUUUUACGUUUAAAAAAUAUCGCCAGCUAAUUAAAAUUUCUUAACAACUAAGUUAACUUCAUUAAAUAUGAACGCAAUUAAUUAUCUGGACAAUUCCGCCCUAGAAAAUUUGAGGUUUCUAACGUUACAAGGAGUCAGCACAAGAAUAGUUAAGGACACGUAACGAAGCCUACAAACAUAUAAAUAAAUAUAAUACAGCACUACGGCACAUUUUCUUCAACAUGAAAAGAACUACCAUAUCAUCCUCGAUGUUACAACAAAUCCUAAAGCUAUCAGAGAGCUUCUGCGCACACAAAGACAAGAAGAAUCUAAAGGUAUUAAUGCACCAAAGCAGUCCAUUUUGACACUGAAGCUUCCCUGUUCACACUCUUUUUGUUAAGUCAAUAGCAAUCAAAGACCAACUUGGCAGAAAGAAACACUACCAUAUAGAUACAUAGCCAAAAGCUUAUGAGCAAUAAUUGUAAUAUAAUAAAUUAUAUAGGAUAGGAACCAGAUUAAUUAGCCCAGUAAGCAUAUUUCCCAAGACUUGAGAGAGGUUAUCACAACCUUUGAUCAUAUAUCUCUGCAUGAUGCAAGAGAGAUUAUUAUUAGGUCUAGACCAAAGGGUUUGUUGUUGAAGAUCCAUAGCCACUCCAUGAUCCUGAACCGUUAAGAUAUCCCAAUGACACUUUCUCAGCCUCAGAGCAAGCCUGAUCUUGCCAUUCAAGGGACAACAGCUUAGGGUUUGGCUUCACGUCAACUGAACCGUUAAGGAUGUUAUGACCUCCAUCAUAGGGCAACAUAAGUCUCUGGCAAGAGUCCAUUAUAUAACUUCCGACAUUGCUAAUGCCUCCAUCAAGGGACAUGCCCCCAAAUGCUGCACUAGAAAGACCUUGAUAAUUCAAUGGCAAUCCAUUGUAGCCACUCAUAUCACCAAGCCCAACACCACCACCACCCACACUCAUAUCACUAUUUUCAAGAACAUCCAAACUCCUAGUUGAACCCCUAAUCAUAUUCAUACCAUCCAACCCGCUUUCCAUGAAGUCAAUAUGCCCAGGGUUCUCUAGCAUCCCCAUGCUAUACUUACUAUCCAUGAAAUUAGGGUUUCCCAGUACCCCAGCAUUAGUCCCAAGUAUAUUGUUGAGGUGGGAAAACUGCACAUCCAAGAAGGAAUGUUGAAGAUCUUUGUGAUUAUGAAUAUAAGAGGGUCCUGCAGGUUGUGUUUGGUUUUGAUUAAUAGCUGGUUGGUGGUCAUUGUGUUUCUUAGUUGAAACUUUCUUGUUCUUUCUGCAACCACCUCCAACAGGAAUGUUCCUGAGAGUGCCUCCUUUGGUCCAGUACCUUCUACAUGUCUUGCAGAAAUACCUGGGCUGAGAGAGACUGUAGUUGUUGUAGUAGCAGAACUUGGUGUGUGUUGAUUCACACCUAGGGCACUUCAGGGCUUGCUCUUGUGAGGGUCUUACCCUCCUCUCUGUCAUCGGUCUCGAGCAUGGAAGCAUGUCGGCAGAUGGUGAAGAAGAAUCCACCCCACAUUCCUCGUGAAUUGUGCCCUGACAUUUUAUACAAGACAAACAAUAAUUAAUGAAUAGGAAAAUGUGCUGCGUACUGUCAAUUUUGUCUUAUUUUGGAUUCAGACAUUCUCUUUAUUCUUCUGCUAAUUCUCACUCUUCUUUCUUUCCUUGUCCGUUUCCCACUCCCCCAUUCACUUUCGUGCAGCAAACCAUUUUAAUUUACACAGAUAAUUGCAUAGUGCAACUUGACAUAUAUACACAUGCUGUUACAAGCUUCUUGGUUAACAUUUUACAAUUCUAACCAUACAUCUUGAUCAACUAAAAGCUCAAAAACUCUCGUCAAACCGUUCUAUUUCACUACUGCGGUGUGAAAUAUGAAGACUUAAUAUAAAUAACAAGUACUACUAGAGUAGGAAGGCCAAGUUAUAAUGACUACUCAUUAAUUUGCACAGAAGUACACACACAUAUAUAUAUCAGUAUGACAAUAUGGUUCUCGGGAAUUUCGAAAAGUAGAAGCAAACAUAUUCCUUUCACAGAUAUACUCCUGCAUACCUGCAGCCAUUGAUCUGAUGAAUUCAUGCAGACAUGGAGAGAGGAAAAACCCAUUUACAAGAAAAAUCCAGGAGCUGGGAGAAAUGGGAGCUUUUGUUCUGAUGAACAAAGUUUGUUACUAUCUUAAUAAGUGCCUUUGUUAGCAGUAGUGUAUGAUGAGCUUGGAACAGCGAAAGAAAAGGGUUGGCCAAGUGGAAGUGUAGUUGAAGAACUGAGGAAGGCAGUGUCGUCCGAUGAGUUUCGUUGUAUAGUGUGAUUGUGUUGUGCGACAAUGUGAGUGUUAAGUGACAGUGAAUAAGAAGGAAGAAAAAGGUGAGAGGAAUGAGUUGCGGUGAGAUAUCGUACUUUAUAGAGAGAGGAUGUGUGUGAUAAUCUCCCGUCGGUGACAAAAAAAUAGUGGGCCCUUAUAACAUGUGGGCCCACUGCUUAGGUGAGCUUGACCAGAUAAAUAUUGAGUGUGACAGUGACAGUUAGUGGUUGGUAUGGAAUGAGAUAGGCAUUAAGCAAAGUGUAGCCGUUGGAGAGGUAACUGUGAGGGGUAGAGAAGACAGACAGAAACAUAGUUGGCACUACAGAGAUGUCUGAAUGAAGUGACAGAAGCUAGGUGAGAAUAUUUGGGUCCUCGAUAAAGAACACAUACCGAAAGAGCACUCUACUUGUGGACCCCAAAAGCACUGGACCCUCUCUCCCUCCUCCCACAAGCAAGGCAUAUAUUCCCACAUUCUCCCUCCUUAAUAUUUUUCAUCUCUUUUUCCCUCCAUUUCAUGCUCUUCCUACCUACUUAUUUAUUGCCUAAAUUAUAAUCAUGUUUUUCUUAGCUUUUCAUUCAAACAUAAAAAUACAAGAAAUGAAAUAUGCAGAGUUUGAUGAUCAGAGAAAAAUUGCAGAUUUUGAUAGAACUAACAUUUCAAAUGAAUAAUUAAAGCAAGACCCUUUUCAAUUUUAGUACUGAUUAAUUAAUAUCUCAGCGUUCUACAAGGCUGCUUGUGAAUUGAAGUAGGAGAAUAGAAAAUGUUCCAAACUCACUACUUUUUCUGUUAUGUAAUAGAAUUUUGAAAUGAUGACAGCUGAAAUAAACUGAGUGUAAUGUCAUUCAAUUGAUAGCGAUAUUGUUGGACUGGGGAAGUUUUGGGGAAUAAACUGACAAACUUGUAUGUGAAGGGUGACAGCUGAACGAAGGAGAAAGGUAUAGUACUGUGGGAGUUUAUGAUAUCCACUUAUGGCAUUGGUGUGAGUGAGGAACACAAUCCAACCUAAUCUAGAGGAACCAAACCCCAAGUACAUACUGUGUGUCAGGUGAAUAAAGUGAGAGUGAGUCCACGUUACCCUCCUACACCUCAUCUCAGAUUCUUCUUGUUUUGUUGAUGCAUGAGUGAGUGAGAAUUUGUGUUUGUUGUGGAUGAAUAUGUUAUAUCUUUCAAUCAUCUAUGAAGUACAAAGAUAGAUGAAUGGAUUACUACUGUUUCAAUCAUCAGCAUGAUAUCAUUGCUCCUUGAUCUGUGUGUAUUAUAGGUCUUGUUUCUUUAUUUGCUUUUCUGUUGUGGAAUGUACAAUAAAACUUUCUAGUUUUCAGCUACUGAUGAGACCAAUGAUCAUUAGGGUUAAACAGUUAAUCAUUACAUAUUUAAUUAAUUUUGGGCUCAGUUUCUUACAUCAAGGAUGUUUAAAUUUAUUUUUAGUGUUUAAAUUUAGAUUGUAGUUGAAAUUUGUCUAUAUUUAAAUUUUAAUAUAUUUUAAUUUUUAAACUUUAAAAUGAAAUAAAUAUAAUUAUUUUAAUUCGAUGAGAUUAAAUUUUUUAACAUGUUAAAUAACUUUUAUAAUUAAUAUUUAAAGUAAUAAUUGACAUUUAAAGUAGAACGUGUCAAAAUGUUUAAAGUUUAAAAACUUUUAAAUAAGAAUAAUCUCUAAUUUCUAUAUUUCUAAGUUUAAAAAUAUAUAUUUAAACGAUGACUUUUGUACUAUUGAGAAAAAUGAGUUGGAUUAAAAGCGAGCUACUCACUUUUAAGUGAAAAUUAAAAUCGCGUGUUGAAGAGUUGUAAUAUUUUCUUUUAUAAAACAAAUAAACAAAAUAAUGUUCUAAUGUAAUCAAAUAGAUAACCUUUUUGUAGUAAUAAAAUUUAUAAAUUAUCUUAUUUACUUAUAUUUAUAUCAUUAGAAUUAUCAAAUAAGUGUAUAUAGAAUCGAGGUUGUGAAAAUAUCAUUACUCAGAAAAGAACUUACAAAAACACGAGGAGGUAUUUCUUCUUUCUCCAAACAUAUCUACUUACUAAUAAUUACAAUUAUAAAAUUUAUUGAAGAUUUGAUAAAGUCCAUAUAUUAUCAUUGACAAAUCUCACAUUCGGUAGUUGAUUAAUCUCAUUAACCAAUAUUAGAUUGAGCGUUUACAAAUUUAUCUGUUUGAUUUAUGCCAGUCAUUGAACUAAAAACGUAUGUUAAAAUUUUGAAUAGGGUAAGUAUGAAAAGGUUGAUUAAGGAUCCAAAUUACCAAGCAUAAACCCAUGCAAGCCUUGAAUCUUAAUGUAAAAUUCAAAAAAUGUGUUAUAUUUGUUUGGAAAACAAAAAAUUGAGAAACGUAUUCCUUAUUUUAUUAUCUUAAAAAUUGGAAAGAAAAAGAUAUAAUAGUGCUUGAUUAAAAUACAAAUUUUUGUCUUAGUUUUAAUUUAUAAUAAAUUUAACCGAUAAUAAAUACUCAUAAUACAAUUACCCAACACCCAAUAUAGUAACAUCGUAUUCUGGCCAACAGUUAAAGCAGUUAAAGAGACAAAAUUUGUAUAAGUAUUCUCUGGACUUAUCAGGAAGAAAAAGUGUUUUUGUUUUCCUCUUUUGUCAUGAAAAAUAUUUCAGUCGAUCAUGACAUGUCCCCAGGUAAAGGUGGGAAAGGUCCAUACGUACAUUAUUUAAUCACAUUAAAAAAACGUUUUAGACAACGAGAUCUUAUAAAAUAUUAAUGUUUAUAACUAUGUAUUUAUAUUUUAAUUUUGUUUAAGUUAAAAUGUAAUCUAAUUACAGAGUUAAAUACUUUUUAUUCUUAAAAUUCAAAACUUUUAUCAUGCGAUAUCAAUAUGUUUUUCUAUAUAAAACUUGGGUUUUAUUAAUUAAAAAUUAUGAGUAAGAUGCUUUGUCUUUCUACCAGAUGCACACAUGAUUAACCAUACUUUUCAGAUAUGGGAAAACUUAAAAACUGCCAAGAGCCUUCAAUCUCAAGCUAUCUAUAUCUUUAUGCUGCAAUUGUAUAUAUAUUUUGCUUUAUUUCUUCUCAUGCUUCUUUUUCACUUUCCUUCUUUUACUAAAAAAUGAAUGACAUUUCUGAAAGGCCAACUCGAUCUCUCCUCAAUUUAAAAGCUGAAGUUCUUCUCAAAAAUAUUUAAAGCUCAAUUUUUUUUAGGGUUGUUUUUUUCUUCCAAAAAUUUUGUAUCUUUUUUUUUUUUUCCUAUUUGAUACUCCAAUUUAUCUUAUAAUAUAUCACCCCCUUCUUUUUUGUUAACAAUAGGGUAUCAAAUAAGUAUAUAUAGUAAAACAUAUACCUCCUUUUCUAUCAUAGUCUAAAUUUCGAAACAUAGAUUUGCUCCAUCAUAGCCUUGUUUACAGCAAUUGGCUAGUAAUGAUUUCUUAUGCUUUCUUUUAACAAACAUAGACCAAUGAUAGGUUAAGAAAUCCCAUCGCCAUGAUUUUCUCACUGAUUAUGAGAAGUUUGAUUGUAUACAUCAUUAUAACGAUGAUUAACCUUCGAAAAUGACUAAUAAGCUGUGUGUGGUCCGACCAAGAUUUUGGUCAAAAAUCAGAACAGUCAUCAUCCCUCGUAAUGGGUGCAGUCAAUUUGGAAUUGUGUGGGUCAAAUUAAUCGAAAGGGUUAGCCUUAGCCCCCACCACCAUGAACCUCCUUUUCAAUACAUCCAAAGUUUUCCUUCAGAAUUGAACAGCUAUAGCAAAUGCAAAUGCAAAUGCAAAUGCAAAUGUAAAUGCAAACAAAACCGAAAUGGAAAAGCCCCAGCUCCCUUUUAUAUAUAGCACCACAUACAGCUACGAAAUAGCUCCCGAUCCCACACCCAAUUAUUUGAAACAUUAUUUUGAGUUUUGAAACACUUGUUUUAUAUAUAAUUAGUGUUAUGCAGAUGGGUUGUUUUUGGUGAUGAGUGUACGUUAUGAGGAUAUUUUUUGUGAUAUGAUGUUCGCAUGCGCGACAGUGGGAAGUGCGGCGCAGUGGAAUGAGUAAAGAAAAGAAAAGAUAAUUAGUGUGAGAUAAAAUGGUGAGUUGUUUUAUGCAGAUGGAGGAAUCUAUGGGGCAGAUGAGAGGAUCUUUAUCCAGCAGAUCACUAUAUUUUAUAAAAUCUUUCAUGUUGGUUUUCGUUUUGUCCCCUCUUUCAUUUUGUUUCUAGGCAACCAUCCAUAAUCAUUACUGUUAUAUUUCUGACAGAUUUCAGCUUUAAGGACCCACUUUCUUUUACGAGUUUCACACACAUACACUAUAUUUCUACAUCAAAUAGUUUCCCGCGUUUCUCAUCGUCUUCUGAUGUCAGGUGCAACCCAAAAUGGAAGCAGAGAAACUAACAAAGGAAACAGAAAAUAACAUGGAAUUCUUUUGUAAAGUAUCAUAUAGUAAAAAUAAUAGUCACUCCUAGUUUUUCUUUCUUUAUUUUCAUUUACAGGAGGAACAACCUUCUUAUAUGUAUACUUCUUUUUCAUAUCAUGCAUUCUUCCAAACAAUGGAGGGAUAAUGAGAUAUAUUUUCAUUUUGCUCACUGUCGGUUUACUCCUGUUAAGUGGAACCCAACAAUGUGUGGUGCUGAGAACAAAGUAAAGAAGAAAAAAUAGGGUGUUUUUUUCUAUAUUAAGACGGAGCUAUAAGGAAAAGAAAAAGCAUUUUCAAAAAUAAAACUUUUUUUUUCUUUUCAUUUUCUUUCAUCAAUUUAAAUUUAUUUUUUCUUAUUGACUUUAGUGUUCAAAAUAUAUUGAUGUAUUGCAUUACUGAAAAGAUAUAUAUAAAAAUUUACAACAUAAUUUAAAAAAAAAAAAAAAUUAUCCAUGAAAACUAACAUACGUGUUAAGUCAAACUUAACUCUUGAACCUUGAACAUAAUAUGUAAAAGAAUUUAUAACUCAAUUUUGACUCAUUUAUUUAAUUGAUUCAGUAAACUUCUCAAUUCAUUUAUAACUUUAGUUUAUUUUUGGUUUCAUAAAAAAUUAUGGAAUUACUUUUAACUUUAGUAGCUUAGAAACACAUUUCAUUAUAGUAUUUGGAUUGUUUACACUGUUUGACAUAUUUUUGUUUCAAUGUUAACUAAGAAACGUGCUUGAAACAACAAAUAAAGUUAAAAAAAAAUUGGUAAAAAAGACUAAAACCAAAGUUUUCUAAAGUUGAAAGACUAAAUUGUACCAUAGUUUGAAAAUGGACUAAAACCAAAAUCGUUCCAAAGUAUAGGAACUAAAAACAUAUUUAACCCAAAAAAAUUUUAACAAACACACACACCAUGUCAUUUAAAUAAUCAAACAUAAUUGUACAAAUUUUGAGAUUAUGUAUUUGUAUCUAAUUAAAUAGUUAUAAGUUUUGAUAAUUUGGUUAUGUUAAUAUUCCAAAGUGUAUUACUCAUUUUUAUCACAUACAAUUUUAUUAAAAAAAAACAAGAUAUAUAAAAGAAUCAUAUUAAAUUUAUGAUAAAAUUACAUUUUACAAAAUAUAGAUAAAUUAUAUUUAUUAAAAUAAAUAAAUAAAUAAAAGUAAAAUAUUAAAGUAAUUUUUUCUAUGAGUAAAAGUUAAAUUAAGUAAUUUAUCACAAUAAUGAUUUUUCUAAAAAAACAUGAAAACUUUGAACUGUAUAUUUUUAUAAAAGUAAAAAUAUUGAUUAUCAUGAUUCUCUAAUAUUCUAAUGAAACCACUCAGUAAUCUAAUAAGAAAUCAUAUAAACUAAUGUAGAAUAUUUCUCAACCAAAGUUUAUGUAAAAUCUUUCUCCAAUUUAAAACACAAAUAACUGCAUCAAUUCAUUAUAAAUAAAAGUUUACACCCCUACAAAACCUAAAAAAUUAUUCGCAUGUUCAUCUUUACUUCCUAUGAAAAUAUCAAUCCAUAUAAAUAAAAUAAGACAACCUAUGAUUGCACCGUUAAUAUGAAAUCGCACAAAAGCAACCUAGACCAAGACUUAAAGAAAUUGCGCUCAGCGUCAAAAAACUACUCCUUAUUGCCAAAGCCACUGGAAUGUGGCCUUUAAUGCAGAAAACUACCCUUCAACACCAUAUCAGUUGACAGCACACUCUAUAUUGGAUUUAAUUAUUAUUCAAACUCAUUUCAAAAGACCAAUUAGGUCUCAUUAGCAGUAUAUUUGAUUCUUAAACCUGUUUAUGAUUUAUAUUUGGACUCCAAUUGCUCAAUUGAACAUAAUUUCAAUGCUUUUAGACCAAGUUAAGUACCCAAAAUCCCAACUAACAAUUCUUGAUAUGUAAAAACUAGAUUUUUGCAAAGUAAGCUACCAACCAAGUCCUAAUUGAUUUAAGAAUAGUUCCCAAAGAUGCAGAAUGUGCCUAAGACCUUGACUUUAGAAUUUCACUACUCAAAAUCCCUAAAAAUGAAUUAAAAAAUUAUAUAAAACACAUGCUAUUAGCUAACAACCAGUUCUACAUCAGAUUCCUAUUAAUAUAUAGCUCAAACCAAUCUUAAUUGACCACACAUUUUCCCAAAUACCAAUUAUCUUAACUUUUCGCAUGUUAAAACCCCAUUUUUACCCUCAAAGCUACAUAUUUUGUCUACUUAAUACAAAUCAAAGAUCUAUAACAGCAUAGCAACUCAAAGUUUUACCUCAAACUAAUAUCUUAAACUCAUCCAAAGCAAAUUUCACCUCAGCAUAACAACUACACACCCUCAUUCAAUAAUGUUCACAUAAGCACACAACAUUUAUAAGCAAUUCAACAUACUCGAUUUCUCGAUUCAAUUUAAUAUUACAAUUCAACCACACCAUCAUCAUAUAAUUAGAGAUUAUAACUUGUCUACCAAGUAAACAUCAAUUAAACUACAUUCCUUUACCUUAAAGAGAACUACACACCUUUAAGAACGCCCAACAUUUAUUUCAAACACAGGGAACUUCUAGAACCUACAACCCGCGAAAUUGAAAUCAAAGUGAGUCCUUAUGACCAUUAACCAUCAAGAAACAAGAAAAGAAAGGUGGAUGACACAUGUGUCACCCUUAAACUAAAGAUUUUAGGAAUGGAACAUCAAAAGGAAAAAGGAACAUAAACUUACUUGUUCUAUAAAAUAAAUUGAUCAGUUAGCAACGUAUACCUUAUUAAUGUGAUCGCUUAGACACCUUUUGAUUGUUAAAGAGAUUACUCAGAAGUUAAAAAAGGUAGAAAGAAGGCAGAGAACUCAAGAGAAAAGUUUUUUUAGAAAAAAUACAAGUGUUUUAGACAAUGAGACAAAUUUAAGAAAUUUUAUUUAUAUUAUCUAAUAUUUUAACUUUAAAAUACUCAGUCUCAUUAUUUUAAAAUACUUAUCAAUUCUAGUAUUUUAUUUUUUAGAUUUUUACAAAAAUAAAUAUUCAUUAAAUACAGUAAUUUUUUAAGAAAUAUUUCGUUAUCAUGGUCUCUAAUAACAAAAUAUUAAUGAGAUUUAAACAAUCAGUGCAAAAUAAUUGACACAUCACAUAAUUAAUAAUAACAUCUAAUUACAACGACUCAACUGAAAGAUUUUAAAAUCUCAAUAGACCACAGAAAUUUAAUAAAAACUCAAUUAAAAGAUUUUCUAAAUUUAUCAUGAUCUUAAAGCAUAAUUAAGUGAAUUUACAAUUGAAUAAAUAAAAGCUCUACUUGGUGUGGGCCUAUUUUUGUUAUUGGUCCAACCAAAGCAAGAGUGGGAAAAGUAGCGUGCAAGUAAAAUGGGUUAAUACAAUUUGGGAGUUACUCCCUGUAGCUCCCCAAUUCCAACCCCCACCCCCCCAAUUUUUUUGGAUUUUUUUUAAAUACAAAAUUAAUCUUUAUGUUUUUUUAUUUUUACCGUUUUACACCUAUUUACUAAAGUUAACCUACUCUUUUACAGUCUGCCUCAGUCAAAACACACAGACUCAAAUUCCUCUCCUUCGUAUUCCCACCCCCACCCCCACCAAAGCUUUUGAAACGCUCCUCCUCCAAACGCUCUCUGCAACUCUCACUCUCCCAUUUAUACGUUAAAAAUAUAUUUAAAAAUAAUACAUCAAAACAUAUAAAUUUCAUUAUUAAAAUAUCUGAAAAUUAAUAUAAAAAGUAAACUAAUAAAACAAAUCUUAAAAAUGGAAUGGGGGGUGGGGGUUAGAAUUGGGGAGGUACAGGGAGUAACCCCCAAACUAUGACCUGCUAGUUUUGGGUCCCUAUUAAAACAUCAUUGGGCCAACUACAUAAAACCCAAGUUGAAACUCAAACUGCUUUACGUGUUCUGUUUCAAUAGAUUUAUGACAUCAAACAUGAUCACAUAGCUUAGGUUCAAUUCAAAUCCCAAUAACUCAACACAAGAAUAGGGUAAGAGAUACGUAUUUUCUUCAAAAGAUACGUGUUUGAAUCUUUAAUAGAGAACUAAAAUUCAACGAAAUAACGUUGAGUUGUUGAAAUUCACCCUACUCAUAUACAUUUCUUAAUCAUUCACUUUCGAUCAUAAUAUGACAACCCAGAAACUUUUUCUUCCUGUAAUCCCUUUAUGCUUAGGAAAAUAAAAUUAAAAAUAGGUGAAUAAGAUGCCAUUGUAAUUUUUAGAUAGAAAAGGCAUAUAUACUCUUGGAUCACAUUAAGCAAUUAACCAAAUACGUAGUUUAGAAAACAUAAGGGGUUCCUUUUUUUCAAGACAUUAGAAUAUAUUCCUUAUUCAGUGUAAAUAUGACAAACCUUGCACUAUGAGUUAUACACCCAUACAUCUCACCUUCUACCUAAUUAAAUUCUCUUUUUUUCUUUUCAAAAAAGAGAAUUUAUCGUAAAGAAAGUGAUAGUGGACGAGAUAAAGAUAUUCUCAUAAAAAAUAAAAUAAAAGGAAAAAAAAGGAUCAAUAACCAAAUUCCAAGGAGAUUAUGAUUUUUCUCAAUGGGUAGAUUUCAAUAUUGACUUCUCCAAUGAUGAUUCUCCUAAACCAGAAUUUUAAAAACGUCAACCAAAACGACCCAAAAACUAUCCAGCCCAAUACAUCAAAGUUGAAAAAAAUUAAAGACAAGAAAGAAAAUGAUUUGAUUGAAUAGUAGCUAUAAUAAAAUUAAAAUGUUGUAUUUUUUGUGGAUUUUUUUUCAUCAUUCCAUUAUUAUUUCAAACAGAGUGAAUGCAGUGUGUUCCUCUUUUGCAAGAUUUCCUUCUUCUCUUCCUUACCAAGUCUUUAAAACUCAAUCACAUCACGUUGCCUUUGUUUCUAGUAUUUUCAUACUAAGCAUUCUCUCUAUCCGAUUACUCUUAAGAAAUUAAACCUUUGCAACUAUCUACUUUAUACAUCAUGAAAGCGAUACCCAAUUAAAAUAAAAUAACUUCAAAACGUUGAGAAAACUAUAAAAAUUAAGAAAACAUAAAAAAAAAAUGUAACGAUGCUAAGGUACGGAGAUAUUUAAAUUAAUGAGUGUUUAAAAGGGGAAAGCUGCAUCGUCAGCAUGGAAAUAAAAUAAUAAGUUUGACAUAUAAUAUAAUGAAUUAAUAAAUAAAUAAAUAAAAAAGUAUGGAAAGUUUGACUAAUGCCUUAACGCCCAAGGAUGUAAUGUAGGUAUAGGUAAAGAAAGCGAAAUAAAAAAGAAAGAGGGGUUUAGAUGAUGAAUACUAAGGUCGGUUGUUAAAAUUUUGAUGUGGUAUUAGCCAUGUUCUUCCACCGCCUUCACCCUAACCUCUCUUUUCUUCCUCUGCCGGUUACCGUUACUCUAACACACGAUCCUCGUGUUCCUCUUUUCUUCAACGCCAAGUUUUCUCUAUCUAUAAACAUCACCUACAGAUUCUGCCACCAACUCUUUUAAUUUCCCCAAAUUCUUUCAUUCCUUCCUCUAUUCCCAAUUUCAAUUCCCCUUCUCUUCUCUCUGCAUUAUGGACAGACCCAUCCACCACUCAUCGGACACGCCUACUUAUGUUUCGGAUGAUGAAUCAGUCGUUUCUGAUUGCGAGAGCGGGGUUUCAGGCGACGAGGGCACGUUUUCCGGAGCCUUUCUGCCGGCGCCCCAAGACGCCCUUCGUGUCCGGACUAGAUUUGUCCGGAGCUUGCUCCUUAACGGAUUGAUGCCCGAGGUCUUGUCGAUUGCCAAGAACGCGCAUUCCUCCGUCAUGGCGCGUGCGCGUGCUCAGUGCUUUCAGAUUUUUGCUCGUGCGGUGGCGGAAUUGCACGAGGGUCGUGCUAACGUCAGGUUCGCUUGGUACGGUGCGUCCGGUAAGGAAGAGAUAGCUGAUAUCGCCCAACAUGGUUUUGGCCACGCGCACUGUAACGGCCUGCGUCUCUCUCCGCUGGAUUCCCCACUCCAAAGGCACGCGUGUUUUCACUGUUCCAUUAAUAUUUUUUUUUUUUCAUUUAAUUUCAUUGUUGUGUGUUUUAUAAUAUUGGUUUCUGAAUAUGAAAGUUUUCUGAAUUUUGCUAUGUUUUUGCGUGUGCGAAUGCAGUGUCAAGAGCUCCGGUGUAGACAGUGACGGCGUGAGGUACUUGUUGUUGUGUAGCGUUAUAUUGGGGAAGACGGAGGUGGUACCACGUGGCUCCAAUCAACGACGUCCGAGUUCUGAAGAGUACGAUUCUGGGGUGGACGAUCUUUCGGCUCCCAAGGAGUAUGUUAUUUGGUCUAACCGGAUCAACACUCAUGUUUUGCCCGAAUAUGUUUUGAGUUUCACGCUUCCUUCCUUGAAAGGUUUGUCUUUGGAGUUCUUAUCGUGGUGCUUGACUUUGUCAGUUUUGUGACUGAUUCCUGAUGUUGUUCUGGAACUCUUUGUGUGCUUGAUUUUGUAGGGAAUGCGAAUAUUGGGGGACCUUUGAGGCCCUCUUCGCCAUGGAUGCCAUUCCCAGCUUUGAUUUCGGUGCUUUCGAAGAUUUUGCCUGCAGAUCAAGUUGCCAUCAUUGUCAAGAUACGCAAAGAUUAUACAGUAAGUGCUUUUAGAGUUUGAUUCCGUGGCUAGCUAGUUUUUUCUUAGCUGAAAUGGUUAUAAAUUGAGCAUAUUAGUCAACAGCACACUGUAGCAACCGUAUAGCAGGAUAGGAUAGUUGAGUGAAGUGCCCAUCGAUCGUUUUAGGAUUCUAAUAACAGCACUUUUCUAUACAAGCCACAAUGUUGCAACCGCCACCAAAACUAGUGGCUUUUGGCGCGCCAUAGCAAUGCUAUCUUGAUGUAGCCUUAAAAAUCCAUUUUACCCUUUAAAGAUAUUUUUCUGGGUUUAUUUGGGUAAAAUAUUCUUCAAAAGUAAAUAAAAAAACAUCUGUGCCUCUGUUUGACAUCUAGACCUUCACACAUCAUAGGACUAUUUUUUAUCCAAGUUUCGAACUUUCUUCUUCCUACUCCUUUCACUUCACGCCAAAUUUUCUUUUUUCUAUUAAUUUCACCUGUCAUCUUACCUUUUUUUUACUUCAUUGCUAUGUUGUUCUGAGAGAUUGAUGGUGACAGUGUGUUUUGCAUAAACUGUGACUUACUAAUUAUCAUGAAUUUCCUUAAUUUUGGAUUUAUUUUUUGUGUGAUUUGUUACGGAGUUUAUAAUUAUGUGUAAAGUAAUUAUUUUAGUUAGUAUUAUAAUGUCUAAAAUGGUAUUCAUCCCGCGUACUGCUAUCUUGCUAUAUUCCAGAGUUAGCCAUUGCACUCUAUUUUGUGUAAUCGAUACAUAUGAUAUUGAGUGAGUUUUUUUUUCUGCUUUGCAGGAAUUGAAAAUUUCUCGGCAUGAGAUGAUACAGAGAGUGAGAAAUAUAGCAAGUGACAAAUUGCUAGUUUCCAUCAUCAGAUCUUUCAGAGCCAAGGUACAUCUGUCCUAUCCUCUUUGUGAUGAUAUGAUCUUCCUAAGUUUAAAGAAUGUCUGUCGUGGCAGAUUUAUUUGUCUAGGAUGUUAAAAACAUUGAACAUAAUGGUCUUGUUGUGAAUAAAGUUAGUAAUACUCAUUGUGCUAAUUACGCCAAGACGACAUCUCGCAUUAUGUUUUCUGAACGCUUUGAAAUUAUAAAGUAUUCACUUGGUUCGUACAAAAUUAUCUUUGAACUAUUAUAAACCAACUGUAAGUUGUAGAAAGAGAUCAUCAUGAAUGACUAAAAUUUUCUUCAAUUAAGGUAUCAAAAGGCUGGACCGACAAAGUUGUCCAACAUCAUUGUUAAAUGAUGAGUUGCUUGAAUGUAUGAUUAAAUUUAUUCGACACAAUCACUUUCCAGUGGCGAUGAAUGAGAUUAUAUACUUAAAACACCCUCCUUUGGAAAGAAAGAUAAAACUGAUUCAAAAUUGGUCCCGUUGAUUCUGUUGUCUUCUUUUAAUUAUGUGUAUGAAAUAUUGUCUGUACUGUUAUUGUUAAGAACAAGAGCUAGCCCGUAUUUUAGGCUAUUGAAGUGCGAGAGUAAUAUAUCAUUUACAGUGAUAAAAUCUAACUUGGCUUCGAAAUCGCGUAAUUUAUAUGAUGCCUCUUUACAGUAUGAACUAGAUAGUUUUCGUGUCUUAUCUUAUUUCGGUCAUGAAUAGGUUGCUAACCUACCUUGCUGAAUAUGUUUUUUCAGAAAACACCAGCAAGCUUUAAAGCAAACAAGGGGAAACAAGGGCAAGGGGAAAGAAGAGCAAGGGGACAGCCAGUAGCAUGAACGCCAUGAUUGUUCAUAUGAGUUCUAUUAGCUAUUACACGAAGUGAAUAGAAGAAUACUUGAAGAAACACGAUGCUCGUAAUACUAACCAAACUUACAUUGAGGUGGGAAAGUGAAACUACGGAGUAAGAAGUAGAGCAUAAUUUUUUAGACCUUUUAAUUUGCUUCUAGGAUGAUAUACUCAUAUUCUGGGAUAUAGGUGAUUCUUUUUCUUUCUAGCUAGUUACAGUUACUGGUUGAAAUAAAUAUACCUUUACCAUGGUGGCUGCAAUUUGCCGACUUCAAGUGUUCCUUUAUCUAUGCUCAUUGGCUAUACGUACACCGGAGUUCUUUGAAGUAGUUUGAUAAACUCUGAAAAAUCAAAUCAAGAGAUUGUUUAUUUUGGGUUUAAUGCGUACAUCCAAAUUGUUUCGCGUCGCACAUCUGUUUCCAUGAAUGACCUCGUAUACUUGAAGUAGCCAACUCAAAUUCAAAAGUCUUUGAUUGGAAUUGUGGUUCCCUGGGAUAUUAAUGGAGUAAAAGGAUGGAUUGGAUUAUGUUGGGGUAAAAAAUUGAACUGAUGAAAUAUAAUUGUUUUAGUGUAGUAAGUCAGUUCAUCUUGUUAAAUUGUCAUUUUAUCCUAUCCUCAUUAUAGUUAUUAUAUUCAUAAAUUUAGUAUUUCUUCGUUCUCCACUCCCAUAUGGGUGGUGGUCCUGUGCAUGGCAAGUUGCAUGAAAAUUUAUGGAGUCUUUGGUACUUGGUAGAGGAUUGAGAAAGGAAUCAAAAGGGGUGUACUAAUGUUUAGAGGGCUUCCGAAAGGCAUUCUUGAAAAGUCAAAAUGUGUGGCUUAGUUACUUGGACAAGAAGGAAAAAAAAAUAAUAAUAGUAAGAUUGUAAUGUAAAGUCAUUAGCUAAUGGUAAUGGACUUUUGAUGUGGGUUUGACCAAAUUUCCGAAAGCACCAAAAUCAAAGUUGGAACCGAAAUCUGAAUCGAAGAAUAGUGUAGAACUCUCCAUUUUUUUUUUGUUUUUAUUUGCCUGACUAAAUAAUGGUUUUAAUUUUGGACGUUUUUUCUAUAAAUUGAUUGAAUUGGAGUCUCGUGAGGCACGACAGCUUUUCGGCCAAACACGCAUGGCUCAAGGCAAAAUUUUAUUGGCACCUCUCUCUUUUUUUUCUUUUAUCUCGCUCUUUUUUUAUAAAAGUAUUCUUUCUGAAAAUUAAUUUCAGAAUGUGUAUUUAGAAAUUUGUAACUUCAUUUCAUAAUUUGGCUUAAGAAUGUUGUAGAAAUAAAAUUUUAGGAUUUAUAAGAUUAAUCAUAUGUUAAAUAUUAGUUUACAUAACUUUUUGAGGUUAAUUAUUAAGUUUCAUAAAUAUUUUUUUUGUUGAAUAGUUUCAUUACUUUUAUGAUUUGAUAAAUAAUAAGAAAGCAAAGUACCAGUCAAAUAAAAAUGGGUGAUGUAAAAGUACAAAGAAGUUCAACUUAGCUCACAUCAAACAAAAAUAAAAUGAAAAUACAAAAUGGUCAUUUACAUAUCUUUGCAAAAAUGUUGGUUUAAUUUUUAAGAUUAAAAUUUUCGGAGAUCUAACUUAUUUUCUAAGUUUUGAGAUUGUUAAGACUAUAAAAAGCUUCAUUUAUUUCAAAAAAAUUAUACUUUAGAUAUAUUACAUGAAAGUAGUAUGUUUGUUUCAUCUCCUUUUAAUAUUCUUACGAACUUCUCUGUCAAGUUGUUUGGAGAUGGAGAAGCAUUUGAAAAUAAAAAGCUUAUUGGAAAAGUUAUUUACUUAACCAACACAAAACCCAAUAUCAUAUAUAUAUGUCAUGAAAAACCUAAACCUAAGUUAACAUGUUUCAUUCCUAUUAGUGUUGAUGGAAGUCUCACAUCGACUAGAGAUAAGACUAUUUAAAUAUAUAUAUAUAAGUGUGUGCAAACUUUAUCCUAUAAAUUGGUGUUGUGGAGUUGAGUUAUAUCAUUUUUAUCUUAGCUUUUUCUUAUUUAAUCCUUCUCUUGUAACCUAAAUGAUUAUUACGGAUUUAAUAAUAUUCUUCUCUAUUUUUUUCUCAUUUACUUUCUUUUAUUUUCAACGCUCUAUUUUAUUUUAUUUUUCACGAAUAAUUUUCUUCCGGACAGUAUCAUUAAGUGUGCAUAAUGCUACCUAUAAUAUACAAGAAUGCACAAGUGAUCACAUUUCCCAAUAAUAAGUAUAUUUAUCAAAAGAUAAAUUAGAGACCAUACAACAAUGAAAAUUAAAGUAUAUUCUACAUGAAGAAAAAACAACAUCCUAUUACUUCAAGUCCAAAACGAUUUUUCUCAAAUAGUUUUUUUACUUGAUAACUAAACGUGUUAAAAUUAAGUGAAACUUAAUAAAAAUAAUUUUAUCUCAAUAGGCAACAUGUUAAGUUGAAGUAUAACCUAAUUUAACUAAGAUGAGAAAAUAUAAUUGUAGUUUUUGCUAAUAAAAAGAUGACAUCGUAUUAUAGGUUUAAUUGUUUGGAUACUUUCGAGACUUUUAUAAUUUAUAUUUUAAUAUAAUUAUAAUUUUGAUUAAAUCAAACAUAUUUUUUUUUAAUUUUUGGAUGGUUUAACAAUAAUUUGAUAAUAGACUCAAAUGUAAUCUUAAGUGAAAGAAUAAAGAUUAAAAAGUUAAACAUUGUAUAAGAAAUAAUACUUCCAAAUCUAUUAUCUUAAUGUUUUAGAUAGACAAUAGUAUAUUAAUUUUUCUAUAUAAUUUAGUUUCGUGUUGUGUCUUUAAUGAUUUAUCUUGUGUUGUUAAAAUGAAAAACAACACUAAUAAUAUUCAUUCAUGAUAAAUGAAGGACCUAUCAAUGUGAAUGGAAAAUAUCAACCACUUAUACUAUAAUUUAAUCUUAAUUUUAAUUAGAGUGAGAUUUCAAACAUUGGAUAUAUAUUAAAGAUCUUAAUAUGUCUUUUGUUAACAAAACUAAUAUAUAUUUUUUAUAAUGUAAGUUUUAUAAUUAUGGAUUGUUAAUAUUCAAAUACAUUUUUGCUAUAUUAUUUUUAAAUUUUUUUUCUACUAUUAAGUCUUGCCAACAUAUUACUUUGAUGGAUUUUAAAAUUAAUUUAAUAAAAUUUUAUAAUUUUUUGUCUUUAAGGCUCAAAAUUUUAAAUAAAAAAUCUAAAUUUAUAAUUUAAAAUCGUUAUUUUAUUAUAUGAAUAUGUUUUAAUAAAUUAUUUUAUGAAAAUUAAAUCUUAAAUUCAAUAAUACAUAUAUUCUUAAAUUCAUAACUUUUAUAAAGUACCAACAAAAUAACUUAAUCAAACGAUUUAGUAAGUAAACGGCAUCAAGUUAUUUGACUCCACAAGUUAGAAGUAUGCUGUGGAUCAUUAAAUAAUUAAGCAAUCUUAUCGCCAGGAUAAGAAAAGAUAAGAAAAUUUAAAUGUUUCAUUAUAUAUAACUAUAGUACAAUUUUACUAAAUUGCUAUAAUAAUAAAAUGAAAUUUGUAUCUACUUAUGUAUUAUUGUUUAAUUAUAUUUUUAAUUAUUGUAAAUUUUUAACUAUUUUUCUCAGAUUAAAAAUAAGUAUAAAAGUAAAAGAAAUUUUAUUAGCACAUGACGGAGUAAAUCUAAGUCAGAAUAAAAUUAAUAUAUUUUGUUAACAUCUUGAACCUCUUCUUUUGUUUUUAAUAUAUGAUAUUUAUAUUUUAUCUAUUUUAAUUGGAUAACAAAGUAUAUUGCAUUGACUAAUAAAAAUAUUCGUAUCUAUUUAAAUACAUACGUUUUUUCUUUAAUCUAAAGUAUAAAAACUAUAAUAAAAUAAAAUUGAAAAUUACCAUUAGAUGAACCAAAAUUAAUUUAAUAAUCUAUACUAUUAUAUAAAAAUUACUUUUUGUAAUUCAAAUAAAUAUUUAUAGAAAAAUAUUUAUUUAUAUAAUAAAAGUUUAUACAAAUUAUUUUUUAUUAUAAUUAUUUUUAAUAAAAACAUCUGCUAAUUUGAAAAAAUUAUAAUAAAAACAACACAUCUGCUAAUUUGAAAAAAUUAUAAUAAAAAAUAAUUUUAUUAUAUUUUCGAGUUCUGGCUAAAUUGGAUUUGAAAAAAUUGUAUUUUUUUAUGCAAGUUAGAUUUCAAUCCGGCUCAUGCAUAUUGAACUCAUGUCAAUCCGGUUCAUGCAGAUUGAACUCGUGAUGGGUCGGGUUGGCCCACCAACCCACCUACUUUAUUUUAUUUUAUUAAAAUUUAAUUUUAAUUUUAUAGAAAAAUAUUUAUUAUUUUUUUUGCUUGAAAUAAUUAUUUAAGUUUCCUGUUUUCAAAAUUAAUUAAACACAAGAGUGAAAUUUAGAAGUGAAAUUUUUAUGAUUUAAAUUAAAGAAAGUUUAUAAUUUUUUAUUUAAACAAAUUGUAUUUAAAUGAGUUAGUGAGUCAACUUGUAUGGGUUGGGUCAGGUUCGAAUUUUUUUGGCUCGUUAAUAAAUGAGUCAGGUUGAGUUGACUCACUGAGCGACACAUCCAUAGUGAGCCGGACCAAGUCGGACCAGAUUACCCGUUUUGACAACUCUAAUAAUGGAAUAGCAUAAUCACCCUCUUAUUAUUUUAUUUGUGUAAAAAAAGUAAUAUAAUAUUAAAGUAAUGGACCAUUAAUCAAAAUUUAGUGAUAAUUAAUAUAUUAUAUCUAACAGUGAAAAUAUUAUAUAUAUAUAUAUAUAUAUAAUAUAGAGAAAUUACAAUUUUAAAAUAUAAUACUAAAUAAAUUGAUAUUAAUAAUUUAAAAUAAAUAUAAAUAUAUGAUAAACUUGUAGAUAGUUAUUUUAAUGAAUAGCUAAUUUGAAAAGGUUAAAAAUAUACGUACAUAUAUGUCCUGCAUUCAAAACCCAACUUUAUUUGUCUUCUCUGCUUAUAAACCAAUACACAUCAAUUUAUUUGAAUCAUCCGCAAUUAAAAAAAGAAAAAGAAAAAAACUUAAUCAAAUUGAGCAUGCCAUUUGUCGAGUAAUGCAAUAAUUUACUAAAUAAAACGUGCAUUAUUUUUAAAUUAAAAAAUGUUAAUUGUAAACCAUUACAUGUUUCUUAUAUUAUAAUAAUUUUUUAAGGAAAAAAAUGGUUUUGUUCUUAUCUAUGAUUUUUAAUAAACUAUAUUUUAAGUAGUGAAUGUUAUUUAUGUGAGUAAUAAAACAACGUCCUGAGUUAACAAUUAAACAAACUCUUAAAUAAGUAAUAAGUUAUUUUAGUCCAUAAUCAAAUAAUCCCCGAAUUAAAUGUUAGAAGUCAUUUGAAUGAAUAAUAAAUCAGCUUUAUUAAACAGUUGACGUUAUUUCAACGAGGAAUCAAAUAAUCUCAAUGUCAUUUUCUGUGAUUAAUAUAUAUUAUCUUAACAAUCAGUAGACAAACUGAGCAAGUACAAAGUACAUUAAACGAGGUAAAUUGGAAUUGAAAUAGGUUGUUGUGAAAUUUUUGAGUGAGAAAAUGAUAUGAUAUGGAAAAGAGUUUGAGAUUUAUCAAAAUUAUCGUAUGAAUUACUAAUUCGGGUAUAAAUUGUUAUAUGGAUUAAGUAUGUUUUUAGUCGUUAUAUUAUCAAGUGAUUUUGCUUUUAGUCCUUCUUUUAAAAUAAGAUAUAUUUUAAUCCUUUUUUUAAAAAAAAUUUUGAUUUUAGUCAUCCAAAACAAGCAGCGUUAAAAAAAGUUGAUCUGGCUAAUGGUACUAUGCCACAUAUCUAUUUUUUUUCUAACAUCUUUUCCAACUUUUCUCCCUCCCUCUCCCUCUGACUCGUUCCUUACAUCUUCAUCCCUCUACCACCAAACUUCAACUCUCCUUCUCUCACCAAAAAAAUAUAUCCAUAUGUUGGCGACGUUUUAUUGCAGCUAUUGUCUCAAAAGACUCAAGCAAAGCCUUGUACACUAUCCCAAAAGACCCAUUCCAAAUUACCCUUGAAGCAUGAAACCCCUCAGUGGCCAAAACCUUUCUUCUUCCUCAAACAUACGAAGAAGAUGAAGUUGGUGGAGAGAGAGAAAGAAGGGGUGGUUGAAGAAGAGGGUGCCGAAGGAAGCGACCAUGGAGGGGGUGUUUCAUUAGUCCUCGACUUUGACAAUGAUGGUGGGCUUCCUGGUAGAUUGUUUCACAAUUCGCAUUCGCGAUUUUGGUUUGCUUAUGGGAAUAGAUUGAUGGCGGCGUGAACUAGUUUCACCUGAUGUCACGGUCGUUGUUCUGGUUUUUAAUUCGCAGGGUUUGAGACGCGAGGAUGGAGCGAAGGAGACAAACUCAAGGUGUACCAGUGACAACGACGCCUGGUGGCGUGACGAAGGUUGAUGGAUGAACCUGAUUUGGAGGUUCUCUCUACUUUGAAGGCGUGUUGGAUCUGAAUCGCAAGAGACAUGAUUGUAGCAAAGGUGCUUCGGCAACGUCAAUGGCUGCCAUGGGGUUCGUUGUUUCCUCAUUGCAGGUUGUGCGAUGACGAGAGAGGACAAUCCCGAUGAUGAUGCAACAGGGGAGCAGUGGCAUUGUGGCGAUUUCAGUUGUGAGCAACAAUGUUGAUGGAAAUCCUCGUCGGCGAUGGUGGUGGUGGAAAUCCAGCCGCAAGAAUUGUGUGUUGUAGGCGAGAAAGAGGCAGAAAAUGUGAGAAACACUGACUCAACGUAAGAAAAAAAAAUCGUAUCAGUCUACUGUUAACCACAUCAGCUGAUUUUUAAUAGUGUUAGCUUUUGAGGACUAAAAUCAAAAUUUCUUUUACAAAGAAGGAUUAACUUACUUUAAAAAAGGGAUUAAAAACCAAAACCUCUUAAUAAUAUAAAAAGUUAAAAACAUAUUUAACCUUUAUAUAUAUAUAUAUAUAUAUAUAUAUAUAUAUAUAUAUAUAUAUUUAUAUAUAUAUAUAUAUUACAAAAUAUUUAUAUAUUUAAAGAUGUGAAUGAAAGUAAUUUUAAUAUUAUACUAAAAGAUAUUAUGUCAAUCUUUACUAAACUAAAUAAAUUAUAUAUAUUUUAAUAAAAUUUAUAUUUAAAUUCAUUAUUUUCAUUAAAUAAAAUACUUUAUAUUUUAAUAAAUUUUUAUGAGAAUAUUCGAGAUCAUUCUUCAACUUUCGAUACUCAAUCAGAUAAAGUUUAAAUGUUUUUUACAGGGGACUUUAACGUAAUUUUCCUCAAAAAGAAUAAAUUUAUACUACAUGCAAUAAACCAAAGAGGCUCGUAAAACAAUCAGAACUUAAUAAUGGAUUAAUUUAGGGUGGCGGAAAGUAUAGAAGUUAGACCAUUUUUUGAACUCCACAAACUAAGCUUUGGAACUAGGAGCCCGCUACCCCCAAGUCCACAUUAAUUCAUUUUCAAUACAAAUAACAGAAAAAUUAAAAAUAAGAAUGAAUAGGAUAAAAUUAUUAUUUAUUUAUAUCAAUGAAAACAAGAAAGCACAUUAUAUCAUAAACGUUGUAACAGUAUAUAAAUUAAUUUAUUGCAAAUAUAAAAAUUGAUAUUCAGGUUUCCUUCUCAAGUAAAAAUAAAUAAUAGAAUAAUAAAACAAAAGUUAAAGAUAUAAAAUUAAAUUAUUUGAAGUAUUUCGAAUCUACACGAAAAUAAUAGGAAAAGAAAAGCGAAAAUGAAGUGGCAUAAAAUAAGCAGAGAGUGAGCAGCGGUUCCACUCCCUUGUCUAUAUAUAGCAUCUCAGAGCCUUUACACACUUUCCAUAGUUUCUACCAAACUCCCAUCUCUGUUUUUGUAUCCUUCUGAAACAGAAUAAUACACAAAUUCUUGAAUGAUGCAGACAGAGCCAACGUCUUCUCCAAGUUUCAGUGCUCACUCUUCCGAUUCUUUCUUUCACAUCGCUACUAGAGUUGUCCGCGAACACCGCAGCGACACCCGCGACACUCUUUGCCAACAAAACGACGACGCUGACCCGGUCGAUGACUUCGAGUUCUCUUUCGUUUUCGGUCACACGGACGCCUCUCCUGCCUCCGCCGACGACAUUUUCUGCAACGGCCAAAUCAGACCUUUCUACCCUCCCUUCCACCAUGACCCUCCGCCGCCUCACUCUUCCGUUACGUCUCUUCCCCUUGAAACCACACGUCGUCCGCGUCUGCCUUUGAAGACACUGAUGUUGGAGGAGCGAGAGAUGGUGAACGGCAGCAACGAUCUCGAAGGCGUGGCUGAAGGAACGUACUGUGUGUGGACCCCGCCCUGCAAGAAGACAACCGCAUCGCCCAAGCGGUGGAGGUUUCGGGACCUUGUGCCUCGGAGUCACAAUUGUGGUCAGAAGGACUCGCUUCUUUUUGUCGGUCCCUCUAAGAGGACCAGCAAGGUGGUGCCUAAGCAUGCCUCCGCCCAAAACAGUGGUGGCGCCGCCGCAAAGCUGGUCGGAUUUUUCACAAACAAUGGACUUGGUCGGAAUAAUUUUCAACCCUCAAGCUAGUACAGAUUGAAGUGGUUUGGUAACUUUGUACUUAAUCUGAUCAAUAAUUAACCUAGUUUUUUAUUACAGAAAAAAAGAGAGGUAAGGAUGGCUUAACAUUUCAUAGAGAUAAAAAUGAUCUUAUAAUAAUAACUUAAUGUCUAUAAUUGGGGAAAUGAUUACCUCAUUUCAUAGAUUUUAUAGUAUGCAUAUUGUAAAAGGGAGAGUGAGAUUUAGCUUUUUGUAGCGUAGAUAUGGCGGAGGUGGAGAAGUUGGCAGUGAGAGAGUGUGUGGGUCUCACGCGGCAUAGAGUUGGAGUAGGAAAAAGUUUGGAAGUGUUUAUGGAGUGAGAUUUAAUUUGACAUUUAGCGAACAUGUCAUUAUCAUUUGCUUUUUUAACACAUUGGAGGGAUGAAGGCUAAAUAGAAGGAGAAAAAGUAUCUCUUUUUUUCUUCUCCAUUUCCACCUCUACUUGACGCUCCAAUCUCUCCAACACUUCAUUCCUUUCGCAUACCCCAUUAUACGUACCAAAAUUCUUAAAUCACAAUUAAUAAUUAAUAAAUAUAUUAAAUCAUAAUUAUAGUAGUAGGGUGUUUAAAACAAAUAACACAAUAUAACGAUUUUAAUAGUUUAAAUUAGUUUUUUUAUUAUAAAAAAAUAAAACAAACUACCCUACUAAAAAUACAAACCUACAUUAAAUGAGUGAUGGGCUAGUACGCAGGUUUGCCAAACUUUACCCAUUUUAGUGUUGGCAUAAAAUUUAGAAUUAAAUAUAAUUUUUAUCCUACAUUUUGCAAAAUCCAAAAUUUUAGUACCAAACUAUUUUCUUCAAAU